Molecule: non-coding RNA, 629 nt
Organism: Centropristis striata (black sea bass)
Lineage: Eukaryota; Metazoa; Chordata; Actinopteri; Perciformes; Serranidae
Source: the annotation of a RefSeq genome assembly
AUGAAGAUAUCACUGAUUCUACUGCUGCUCACCCUGGGGCUCCUUGUUCAGGGUUCAUCAGGAGACAUCAUCCUGACUCAGUCUCCUGGAUCUCAGUCUGUUGUUUCAGGACAGACUGUCUCUAUCACAUGUAAAGCCAGUUCAACUGCUGGUACUUGUCUUAGCUGGUACCUUCAGAAAUCUGGACAACCUCCUACACUCUUGAUUUAUCUUUCUACAAGUCGUCAGUCUGGAGUUGCAGGUCGUUUCAGUGGGAGUGGAUCUGGAACUGACUUCACUCUGACCAUCAGUGGAGUUCAGACUGAAGAUGCAGGAGAUUACUAUUGUCAGCACUGUAACGGCUACCCGUUCACACAGUGUUACAACGCCGUACAAAAACCUCCCUCAUAUAAAGAGGAACUGAUCUGACUCUACAGCUGCACAUUAACUACAACACAACAUGACGAAUAACAGAAUAUCAGUUUAAUCCUGAAAACAUUUAAUUUUUUUUUUAAUUUUAGUUGUAGGACGGUUUUUUUUUUGUAUGGUUGGUGAAUAUAAGUUUGCUGAAAGUUCUAAUCACAUGUAUAAUUCCUGCUACUAUAAUUCAAAAGUGUAAUUAUAAUUAUAAUAUUUAAGUUUCAUGUUUA